GGAAUAGCAGGGCCGGGGGGCGGCAAUCCCGGAUUCAGGAGUCCAGCCGGUGACCGAGAGACACCAUGGCAGCUGGACCAUGGUUAUGCCAUUGGCCUUUUCAGAGAAACAGCUGCCUCACUGCUCCAGUGCCUGGUUCAUGACAGUACUGUCCAUAUCCUCCGCCACGCUGACCGCUCAAAUCAUCUUGCACUGGAGCAAUGCUGUUUGCACUCAUGGGAUACCAGGUCAUUCCCUCUCUGAUCCUUUCUUGCAUCUCCCAUUUCUCCAUGUGACAGUGAUGCUUCCAGACAGCAUGGGACUGCCGGCUUUUUGGAUUGGAGAAGUGCAUGCUCCAUGUGGCUCUGAAUAACUGCUUUUCCUGGAAAACCUGGAGCCUACAGAAAUCAGACCAGAUGUGCUCUCCUGGGAGCAGGGGGAGCCAGAUGCUGCAAACAGGUGAUCUUCUAGGAUGACGGGUGGAAGGGGCAAGAUGAAUACUGGCAAGUUUC
RNAcentral lists this long non-coding RNA (491 nucleotides) under Serinus canaria (Common canary). Its description in RNAcentral is "lncRNA (ENSSCAG00000009510.1)". Lineage: Eukaryota; Metazoa; Chordata; Aves; Passeriformes; Fringillidae. The record is from RNAcentral.